RNAcentral lists this ribosomal RNA (1480 nucleotides) under uncultured prokaryote. RNAcentral describes it as "partial 16S ribosomal RNA". It matches the Rfam family "Bacterial small subunit ribosomal RNA". The record is from RNAcentral.
GCUGGCGGCAGGCUUAACACAUGCAAGUCGAGCGGUAACAGGAGAAGCUUGCUUCUCGCUGACGAGCGGCGGACGGGUGAGUAACGCGUAGGAAUCUGCCUAGCAGUGGGGGAUAGCCCAGAGAAAUUUGGAUUAAUACCGCAUACGCCCUUCGGGGGAGAAGGCCUCUAUUUAUAAGCUUUCACUGUUAGAUGAGCCUGCGUGAGAUUAGCUAGUUGGUAGGGUAAAGGCCUACCAAGGCGACGAUCUCUAGCUGGUUUGAGAGGAUGAUCAGCCACACUGGGACUGAGACACGGCCCAGACUCCUACGGGAGGCAGCAGUAGGGAGUAUUGGACAAUGGGCGCAAGCCUGAUCCAGCAAUGCCGCGUGUCUGAAGAAGGGUUUCGGGUUGUAGAGCACUUUAAGCAGGGAGGAAGGCCUUAAGAGUUAAUACCCGUAUGCACUGACGUUACCUACAGAAGAAGCAGCGGCUAACUCCGUGUCAGCAGCCGCGGUAAUACGGAGGGUGCCAGCGUUAAUCGGAAUUACUGGGCGUAAAGCGCGCGUAGGCGGUUUGCUAAGCCAGAUGUGAAAGCCCCGGGCUCAACCUGGGAACUGCAUUUGGAACUGGCAUGCUAGAGUACGGUAGAGGGUGGUAGAAUUUCCUGUGUAGCGGUGAAAUGCGUAGAUAUAGGAAGGAAUACCAGUGGCGAAGGCGGCCACCUGGACUGAUACUGACGCUGAGGUGCGAAAGCGUGGGGAGCGAACAGGAUUAGAUACCCUGGUAGUCCACGCCGUAAACCAUGUCAACUAGCAGCCGUAGGGAUCCUAGGUCUUUGUGGCGCAGCUAACGCAAUAAGUUGACCGCCUGGGGAGUACGGCCGCAAGGUUAAAACUCAAAUGAAUUGACGGGGGCCCGCACAAGCGGUGGAGCAUGUGGUUUAAUUCGAUGCAACGCGAAGAACCUUACCAUCCCUUGACAUCCAGAGAAGAGACUAGAGAUAGACUUGUGCCUUCGGGAACUCUGUGACAGGUGCUGCAUGGCUGUCGUCAGCUCGUGUUGUGAAAUGUUGGGUUAAGUCCCGCAACGAGCGCAACCCCUAUCCUUAGUUGCCAGCACAUUAUGGUGGGAACUCUAAGGAGACUGCCGGUGAUAAACCGGAGGAAGGUGGGGACGACGUCAAGUCAUCAUGGCCCUUACGUGUAGGGCUACACACGUGCUACAAUGGCAGGUACAGAGUGCUGCAAUACCGCGAGGUGGAGCGAAUCACACAAAGUACGUCGUAGUCCGGAUCGGAGUCUGCAACUCGACUCCGUGAAGCCGGAAUCGCUAGUAAUCGUAGAUCAGAAUGCUACGGUGAAUACGUUCCCGGGCCUUGUACACACCGCCCGUCACACCAUGGGAGUGGGAUGCAACAGAAGUAGGUUGCUUAACCUUCGGGAGAGCGCUUACCACGGUGUGGUUCAUGACUGGGGUGAAGUCGUAACAAGGUAUCCGUA